RNAcentral lists this ribosomal RNA (460 nucleotides) under uncultured bacterium. RNAcentral's name for it is "partial 16S ribosomal RNA". It matches the Rfam family "Bacterial small subunit ribosomal RNA", at positions 338 to 795 of the family's 1533-position model. The record is from RNAcentral.
CCUACGGGCGGCAGCAGUGAGGAAUAUUGGUCAAUGGGCGCGAGCCUGAACCAGCCAAGUCGCGUGAGGGAAGACUGUCCUAUGGAUUGUAAACCUCUUUUAUCUGGGAGUAAAAGAUUCCACGUGUGGCGUUUCGUGUGUACCCUAAGAAAAAGCAUCGGCUAACUCCGUGCCAGCAGUCGCGGUAAUACGGAGGAUGCGAGCGUUAUCCGGAUUUAUUGGGGUUAAAGGGAGCGUAGGUGGAUAGUUAAGUCAGGUGGGAAAGUUGGCGGCUCAACCGUAUCAGUGCAGUUGAAACGGGUAUUCUUGAGUACGCGAGAGGUGUGCGGAAUGCGGGGUGUAGCGGUGAAAUGCGUAGAUAUCACGAAGAACUCCGAUUGCGAAGGCAGCACACUGGAGCGCAACUGACGCUGAGGCUCGAAAGUGUGGGUAUCAAACAGGAUUAGAUACCCGAGUAGUC